Molecule: ribosomal RNA, 253 nt
Filed under: uncultured microorganism
Description: partial small subunit ribosomal RNA
Rfam family: Bacterial small subunit ribosomal RNA
Source: RNAcentral
UACGUAGGUGGCAAGCGUUAUCCGGAAUGACUGGGCGUAAAGGGUGCGUAGGCGGUUAAUUAAGUCAGAUGUGAAAAUCCCGGGCUCAACUUGGGAACUGCAUUUGAAACUGGUUAACUAGAGUGCAGGAGAGGAAAGUGGAAUUCCUAGUGUAGCGGUGAAAUGCGUAGAUAUUAGGAGGAACACCAGUGGCGAAGGCGACUUUCUGGACUGUAACUGACGCUGAGGCACGAAAGCAUGGGGAGCGAACAGG